This 254-nucleotide ribosomal RNA is filed under the name uncultured bacterium. Its description in RNAcentral is "partial 16S ribosomal RNA". It matches the Rfam family "Bacterial small subunit ribosomal RNA", at positions 524 to 776 of the family's 1533-position model. The record is from RNAcentral.
UACGUAGGGAGCAAGCGUUGUUCGGAUUUACUGGGCGUAAAGGGCGCGUAGGCGGCAAAUUAAGUCAUCUGUGAAAUCUCCGAGCUUAACUCGGAACGGUCAGGUGAUACUGAUCUGCUAGAGUGCGGAAGGGGCAAUCGGAAUUCUUGGUGUAGCGGUGAAAUGCGUAGAUAUCAAGAGGAACACCUGAGGUGAAGACGGGUUGCUGGGCCGACACUGACGCUGACAGCGCGAAAGCCAGGGGAGCAAACGGG